UCAUUGGCUCUCUGCCCCGCAGCCUACAAUGAGCCCGCCGAUUGGCUGCAGCUGGGUCCGCGCCGCCUUGUGAGCAUGAAUCCCUGGCCUGAACUGGGGAAGUCACUUUCAGGAUUAAAGGCAGCCAACAGAACAUCAGCACCCAGAGCCCUGGAGAACAGCAUCUGUGUUUGAGUGGUAAAGUGUCAACAGGCCGCUUAAGGAGGAGUGGGUAUAGGGAGAGAGAGGCUGCAUUUCUAAAAUAUCUCUGAGAACAAGCUGCUUUUCAGAAUUCAAAUCAACAUGUGAUCUUCUUCACUUUAGGGGUAUAUGCAGGAAGCCAUUAGACACAACCAGCAAAGGGCCAUACGGCAGAUAACGUGUGACUUCUUCCCUUUCGUGUACCACAGAAGUCCAUUGGUGGUGAAUAUGUGAACAGCUA
Molecule: long non-coding RNA, 421 nt
Filed under: Homo sapiens (human)
Lineage: Eukaryota; Metazoa; Chordata; Mammalia; Primates; Hominidae
Description: HSALNT0329759
Source: RNAcentral